RNAcentral lists this ribosomal RNA (492 nucleotides) under uncultured bacterium. RNAcentral's name for it is "bacterial SSU rRNA". It matches the Rfam family "Bacterial small subunit ribosomal RNA", at positions 903 to 1397 of the family's 1533-position model. The record is from RNAcentral.
AAAGGAAUAGACGGGGGCCCGCACAAGCGGAGGAGCAUGUGGUUUAAUUCGAUGAUACGCGAGGAACCUUACCCGGGCUUGAACGUAAGACGCAUAAUGAGGAAACUUGUUAGCCUACGGGCGUUUUGCGAGGUGCUGCAUGGUUGUCGUCAGCUCGUGCCGUGAGGUGUUAGGUUAAGUCCUGCAACGAGCGCAACCCUUACCCUUAGUUGCCAGCACGUUAUGGUGGGGACUCUAUGGGAACUGCCUACGCAAGUAGAGAGGAAGGUGGGGAUGACGUCAAAUCAGCACGGCCCUUAUGUUCGGGGCUACACACGUGCUACAAUGGUAUGUACAGAGGGCAGCGACCACGUGAGUGGCAGCCAAUCCUCAAAGCAUAUCUCAGUUCGGAUUGGAGUCUGUAACUCGACUCCAUGAAGUUGGAUUCGCUAGUAAUCGCGCAUCAGCCAUGGCGCGGUGAAUACGUUCCCGGGCCUUGUACACACCGCCCGU